RNAcentral lists this long non-coding RNA (1229 nucleotides) under Cottoperca gobio. RNAcentral's name for it is "lncRNA (ENSCGOG00000001460.1)". The record is from RNAcentral. Lineage: Eukaryota; Metazoa; Chordata; Actinopteri; Perciformes; Bovichtidae.
UGUAGGGGGUGCAGUUUCACUCUCGGAGCUGCGUGCAUGAGAGGCCAGAGGGCGCCCGAAAAAUACCGGAAGUGCAAAAUGACGCAUGUAUGUAGGCUACUUAAAGAAAAUCCUGUUUUUAGUUUGUGUAAUUGUUGAUUUGAUCACAAACGCUUGUGUAAAAACUUGCCACGCUUGCCAUCGGAGCUGCUUAUCCCUGAAUUAGACACCUACUGUGCCAGGAAGCUACCACAGAAGCGAUUUGAGUACUUUGCCAGGUGCUUAUAUGCCUGUCUGUGGAUGUAUUUUUCGUCAACGUGAUGUAACCAACUGUUACAUAUGUUCAACUCUGUAUAACCCAUGGCUGCAUAAUCCAGGCAGAUCGCAGAGUCUGUCCUCGGCUGUCUCUCCAUUGGCACUGUCACUCCCUCAUUCAGCCGUUCGUCAUCCUGUUGCUGCUCCUCAUCAAUCCCACACUGCCACAAUGGUCUGUGACAGCAGCACUGACAGGCCCAUGACAGGCCUGCCACCCGGACGGCCUGUCCCAGCCAGCCAGCCUACAAUACGGGAGAAGACAAACAGACCUGAACAUGCACAACUCAUUCCUCCUCCCCCCCCCAAACCUUGUUGGCGCCUGGCUGUGUGGCCCAACUCUCUCAAACUCUCCCAACAACACUGUACAAACGCUACAGCGGGGCUUUAGCUACGGCAAUGUCGCUCUGUUGGCCGGUCCACAACUGUGGUCCGGACUGAAACAUCUGUUGGAUGGACUGCCAUGACAUCAGUGUUCAGAUAUUCAUGGUCCCCAGAGGAUGACACCUCCUAACUCCCCUGACUUUCCCUCUAGCGCCACCAUGAGGUUGAUAUUUAUUUGUGGUUUUGAAUAAAAAAGCUCAACUUUUGGAUGGAUUGCCAUGAAGUUUGGUACAGCCGUUAUUUUUUACAGCCCAACACUUUGGUUUAUUACCAAACACUUGCAAUCAGCAAGACAUUCCCAUGAGCCUCAGCUGUAGGCGACUUGUUUAUUGUUAAAUAGCUAAUGUUAGCAUGUUGACAUGCUAAACUAAGAUACCAAAUAUGGCAACAUUGCCUCCUAAACAUCAACAUUUUAGCAUGGUUAUUGUGAGCAUGUUUGCAUUUAGCUCAAACUACCACUGUGUCUGUAGGCGCUUCGCAUAGUUACCCACGAAACUGAAGGUUUUUUGACCAGGUUUCUUUUUGGAUUUUACAUUUCAUAAUAUUGCAUUGUG